This 356-nucleotide long non-coding RNA is filed under the name Dromaius novaehollandiae (emu). Its description in RNAcentral is "lncRNA (ENSDNVG00000004693.1)". Lineage: Eukaryota; Metazoa; Chordata; Aves; Casuariiformes; Dromaiidae. The record is from RNAcentral.
ACUGCAAUUGUUGUAUCCUUAGAACAUCUUUCGAAGAAAGAUGAGGCAAACAGUGAGCCUGAGUGCUGGGGGAGCUGGUGUGCCAGCGUCAGGGUCCUCCUGCUUCCAGGACCUGCUCCAUCCCCAGGCAGCUGAGGCUGCGGGACCCCAUGGUGAAAUGGGUGAAUAUCAGACAGCUCAUUACAGAGACAAGCAUGCUGCGUUCCCAAAGUAAGAUGACAGAACAAGUCAUGGUACGUAUUGUAAUUUCAGUACUACAAUACGUCUUCAAGCUGUCGGAGGUAAAAUGCUUACUAAGCACUGCAUUGGGGCUGUCAGAAUGCUUCAUGGGGUAGUAAUUAAAUUGAGGCAGUUCU